CUUAGCGGCGGACGGGUGAGUAAUGCUUAGGAAUCUGCCAUUUAGUGGGGGACAACAUUCCGAAAGGGAUGCUAAUACCGCAUACGCCCUACGGGGGAAAGCAGGGGAUCUUCGGACCUUGCGCUAAAUGAUGAGCCUAAGUCGGAUUAGCUAGUUGGUGGGGUAAAGGCCUACCAAGGCGACGAUCUGUAGCGGGUCUGAUAGGAUGAUCCGCCACACUGGGACUGAGACACGGCCCAGACUCCUACGGGAGGCAGCAGUGGGGAAUAUUGGACAAUGGGGGGAACCCUGAUCCAGCCAUGCCGCGUGUGUGAAGAAGGCCUUUUGGUUGUAAAGCACUUUAAGCGAGGAGGAGGCUACUUGGAUUAAUACUCUAGGGAUAGUGGACGUUACUCGCAGAAUAAGCACCGGCUAACUCUGUGCCAGCAGCCGCGGUAAUACGUAGGGUGCGAGCGUUAAUCGGAUUUCUGGGCGUAAAGCGUGCGUAGGCGGCUGAUUAAAGUCGGAUGUGAAAUCCCUGAGCUUAACUUAGGAAUUGCAUUCGAUACUGGGUCAGCUAUAGUAUGGGAGAGGAUGGUAGAAUUUCCAGGUGUAGCGGGUGAAAUGCGUAGAGAUCUGGGAGGGAAUACCGAUGGCG
RNAcentral lists this ribosomal RNA (637 nucleotides) under uncultured bacterium. RNAcentral describes it as "bacterial SSU rRNA". It matches the Rfam family "Bacterial small subunit ribosomal RNA", at positions 91 to 717 of the family's 1533-position model. The record is from RNAcentral.